AGAGUUUGAUCCUGGCUCAGGAUGAACGCUAGCGGCAGGCUUAACACAUGCAAGUCGAGGGGCAGCGCGGGGCGGCAACGUCCUGGCGGCGACCGGCGGAAGGGUGCGUAACGCGUGAGCGACAUGCCCGUUGCCCGGGGACAACCGGUGGAAACGCCGACUAAUCCCCGAUGGGAUACGAUGCUUCAUGGCAUUGUAUUGAAAGUUACGGCGGCGACGGAUUGGCUCGCGUCCGAUUAGCUUGUUGGCGGGGUAACGGCCCACCAAGGCUACGAUCGGUAGGGGUUCUGAGAGGAAGGCCCCCCACAAUGGGACUGAGACACGGCCCAUACUCCUACGGGAGGCAGCAGUGAGGAAUAUUGGUCAAUGGGCGGAAGCCUGAACCAGCCAUGCCGCGUGCGGGAAGGAGGCCCUAUGGGCUGUGAACCGCUUUUGCCUGGGGGCAAUAAGGGCGUCGCGCACGUCCGAUGAGAGUACCAGGCGAAUAAGCAUCGGCUAACUCCGUGCCAGCAGCCGCGGUAAUACGGGGGAUGCGAGCGUUAUCCGGAUUCAUUGGGUCUAAAGGGUGCGUAGGCUGUGCGUCAAGUCGGGGGUGAAAUUCCGGUGCUCAACACCGGGGCUGCCCUUGAUACUGUCGCGCUGGAGUGCGGAUGCCGCCGGAGGAAUGAGUGGUGUAGCGGUGAAAUGCUUAGAUAUCACUCAGAACACCGAUUGCGAAGGCAUCUGGCGAAUCCGUAACUGACGCUGAGGCACGAAAGCGUGGGGAUAGAACAGGAUUAGAUACCCUGGUAUUCCACGCCGUAAACGAUGAUGGCUAACCGCCGGCGACACACUGUCGGUGGCCAAGCGAAAGCAUUAAGCAUCCCACCUGGGGAGUACGCCGGCAACGGUGAAACUCAAAGGAAUUGACGGGGGCCCGCACAAGCGGAGGAACAUGUGGUUUAAUUCGAUGAUACGCGAGGAACCUUACCCGGGCUUGAAUUGCAGAGGAAGGAUUUGGAGACAAUGACGCCCUUCGGGGCCUCUGUGAAGGUGCUGCAUGGUUGUCGUCAGCUCGUGCCGUGAGGUGUCGGCUUAAGUGCCAUAACGAGCGCAACCCCUCUCCUUAGUUGCCAUCAGGUUAAGCUGGGCACUCUGGGGACACUGCCACCGUAAGGUGUGAGGAAGGUGGGGAUGACGUCAAAUCAGCACGGCCCUUACGUCCGGGGCUACACACGUGUUACAAUGGCAGGUACAGAGAGACGGUCCCUUGCAAAACGGAUCAAAUCCUUAAAGCCUGUCUCAGUUCGGACUGGGGUCUGCAACCCGACCCCACGAAGCUGGAUUCGCUAGUAAUCGCGCAUCAGCCAUGGCGCGGUGAAUACGUUCCCGGGCCUUGUACACACCGCCCGUCAAGCCAUGAAAGCCGGGGGCGCCUAAAGUCCGUGACCGUAAGGAGCGGCCUAGGGCGAAACUGGUAAUUGGGGCUAAGUCGUAACAAGGUA
This 1484-nucleotide ribosomal RNA is filed under the name metagenome. RNAcentral's name for it is "bacterial SSU rRNA". It matches the Rfam family "Bacterial small subunit ribosomal RNA". The record is from RNAcentral.